GUGGCUGUGGCCUAUAAAUACGCCUCUCCCGGCUCUGCGGCAGGCAUUCAGGCAGCGAGCGCAGAGCAGCGCGGGAGGCGGCAGCGCAGCUUGGGGAAGCCGCAGAUAAGUUGUUCGAUUUAAAAAAGAAAAGAUAGUGACUAGGAUAACUAGCAAAUAUAAAUAGGAACUAGCUUUCUAAUAUACUGCUUAGCGCUAAAUUCUUAGAGUAAUUUUGGUACCUUUUUAAAAGAUUUUAGAGGAAAAUAGGAAAGGCUGUUUUAAAAGUUUGAGAAAGGAAGAAAGAAGAAAAACGUAUUUGUACAACAUGGCAGAUUGAGACGAAGCUUCUUCAUGAAGUAAAAAUAUUUUUACAGAAAUUGUCGAAAAGGACUGCAAAGUCCUUAAUAAAAGCCUUUAGUUGAAGGGCAGGCUUUGUAAACUAGCAUUAAAAUAAGACGAUUUAAACAAUCUAAAUAAACCUCAUUUAAAAGAGCGAAGUGUAGGUGGUGAAAAGCCAUUUAAAAGAGUACAGAGUAGGUGAUUAAUUGGAAGGCUUUAAAAGGUUAAGUUGAAGGUGGUUAAGAAACCUUCAUGGCGGAGGAGAAAGAUGCGUCAUUCCAAGCCUAGUUAAUCUUAAAGCAUUGUUUGCUUAAAAAAACAUGAAAAUAGGAAAGGCUUAACGGGGAGUGGUAGGAUAAAAACCAAUUUGGAGAAAGAAGAUAGAAAUUUGAAGUGGAAAACUUGAAGACAGAAGUACAGGAAGGUGAAGAAAAGAUAGAGAAGAUGUAGGAAAACUAGAAGAUUAAAUAUACUCCUUUAGAAGACAAAAGAUAAUUUUAAACCCACAAAAUAGGAAGCAGAAGAAAACUAGGAGAAAAAGCAACAAAGAGUGGAGUGUACAAACCUUAGAAGAACUAGAAGAUAGAAACAAGGUAGAAAAUGGUUGAAAAUGUCAUGGAAAGGUAUUGCAGAUAGAAAAUGCAAGACGCUAAGACAACUAUUGGAUACAAACAUUCAAGAUAGACAAGGUAGAAGAGAAGUUGGAAGCAAAAAUUGGAUAAAGUAGAAGAACUGAAAAGUGGAAGUGAUUAGUAGUUUGUUUUUUAAAAGCCCAUCAAUUUUAAUUUUUGGUGGUGCAGAAAUUAGAAGCCUCAGAUGAGGCUGUUAAAAAUUUAUAGACCAGAGCCAAUUUAGAAGAAUGUUAAACUAGAAGGAAGUUGGUUUAAAGCCACAUCAAAAUUAAAAGGACUGAAGUAAUUUUAAAAACUAAGGCAGAAUGCUUUUGGAAGAAUUGAAUUUAAAAGGCCUUAAAUCCCGUAGUUUAGUUUAGUUUGAAAAAUAUAAGGACUUUGAUACUGAAGUAAUUCAAGAUCAAGAGUAAUGUGUUUCAUUGGACUUUUGAGCUAAGAUCUGUAAAAUGAUAAGGACUAGCAGUAAUUGGCAGCCGACCAGGUGCUACGCAGAAGUGGAUGCAGUGACCCUAGGAAGGAAGACAGGAGCAGCAGACAGGAUUCCAGGAGCCAGUGUUCGGUGAAGCUAGGACUGAGGAGCAAGCGGCAGGCCGUGGUGAAGAUAGGAAGGAGUCCAGGAGCCUGUGCGAGUUGGUGAAGGAAGCUAGGAAGAAGGAAGGAGCCCUAACGCUUGGUGGUGAAGCUAGGAGAGCAUUCGAGGAGGAAGGAGCCAGUGCGAUCUGGUGAUGAAGCUAGCUGGCCUGGGCUUGUCGACCCCGCGGAGGAGGCGAGCGUGCGUUGUGGAGGAUAGAUAGCCCACCCUAGACGCGCAUGGCAGUGUGCCAGGCUACGGGAGAGCGAGUGGUGUGGUAAAAGUCCGGGAGGUCGGCGAUGUCGUAUUUUUCUGUAACUUGAGCGUGGUAACUUUAUUUUCCUUGUUCCCUAAUGGUAAUGGGGGAGUUGGACGUCAGCGGAAAGGGAUUUACGUGGGUGUGUGUGCGCACAUAGGCCGGUUUCCGGGUGUUAUAGGUUUUUCUUUUUCAGGCUUAUGUUCUCAUCUUGUGUGAAGCUUGAGGGCAGACUGCCAAGGCCUCGAGAAAUGGUAGAUGGCAAGUUUGUUUUUUUCACCAGCUUGAAGUAAAAAUGAAUUUUAUAGAACAAUUUCUGCAAAUUUUUAAGCAGCUUGUCUUUUUUUAGAUAGCAAUGAAGUAUUUGGUGAAUAGAUGAGCUGUUCUUUCCUCACCUUGAAUUAGUUUUGUAAAUAAGUCUGGGAGUAUAACUGGGGGGAAAGUUUUGUUUUUUUGGUGUGUGUGUGUGGUGGGGAUGGGAAAAUGUUUUUGAGUUCUUUUCCCCUUAGGUCUUUCUAGAAUCCUAAAGGCAAAUGACUCCAAGUAACAGAAAAAAAGAAAAUCCAGUAUCAGGAUAAUCAGAACACCACAGGUUUACAGUUUCUAGAAACUAGAUCCACGAGUAGCUCUCACUUUGUGGAGGAGGUGUCCAUUGGAGAAAUGGCUGGUAGUUACUCUUUCUUUCCCCCCCUCUUAAUCAGAUUAAAAGUGUUAAACCCCUUCAACUUGUUAUUACCUUUGGGGAUUGUCUUAACAGGGAAGAGAGAGGGUGGGGGAGCAAAUGUUUUUUUUCUAAGAUUUUCCACAGAUGCUAUAGUACUAUUGACAAACUGGGUUAGAGGAGGCAUGUACUGCUAUGCUGUUGGCACCAACACCUUCAGGGAUUGGAGCAGCUUUUAUCCUUGGAAGAAUUUUCCCAGUUGAAGCUGAAAAGUGCAGCACAGUGCAGCUUUGGUUCAUGUUCAGUCAACUCAGAACUUCAGAAGCGCUUGACUAGGCCAAAUGUUGAAGUUAAGUUUCCAAAUAACAUAAUUUAAAAUACUUCAUUAAAGGGGAGGGGCAAAUUUUGACAAUUAGUUUGCAGUGGUCUAUUGUGGUUGGGAUUGGGGGGGUGGGUUUAGGUAAUUGUUUAGUUUAUGAUUACAGAUAAUUCAUGCCAGAGAACUUAAAUACUUAGGAUGGAAAAACUAAAGAACUCUCAACUUCCAAGUUGGCAAGUAACUCCCAAUCCAUUAGUUUUAUUUCCUCCAAGUUCUGAAUUGGGCAGCAUGGGAAGAUUUUUAACUGGAUUGUACCAGUGCAUUAAUUUGGGCAAGGAAAGUAAACAUGGUAAUAUGGUUUCUAUCCCCCUCAGUGUCUAGGACUUGGGGAAGGAAAGUGUUGGAGUGGGGGUUGGUCUGGCUUAUUUGGAAUGACAUUGAAUAGCUACAGUUCUGGGAAUUUUAAAAAGCUUAAUUUUGGAUAUAGAUGGUAGUGUGUGGUUCUCUUUUGGAAUUUUUUUCAGGUGAUUUAAUGUAACUUAAUACUACUAUAGGAACUUCAGAGCAAAGGAAGUGGCUUAAUGAUCCUGAAGGGAUUUCUUCUGAUGGUAGCUUUUAUAUUAUCAAACUUUUUUCAGAUAACAUCUUCUGAGUCAUAACCAGCCUGGCAGUAUGAUGGCCUAGAUGCAGAGGGAACAAACAGCUCGUUGGUGAAUGAUAAGUAAAGGCAGAAAAGAUUGUGUCAUACCUUCAUUGGGGAAUAAGCAUAACCCUGAGAUCCUUACUACUGAUGAAAAUAUUGUCUGCAUAAUGCAAAAAAAAUUAAGCAAAUGAAAGCUACCAAUUUAAAGUUUUAUGGAAUCUACUAUUUUAAAAUUAUGGCUUAUCAAGCUAUUUUCACAAAAAUGAAUCGAGAAACUAUGAAGAUCAAAUGCCCAUCUCAAAAACACUGCUUUUACAAAAGCAGAAUAAAAUGGAAUGAAAUGAAAAUGAUUAUACUACAUUGUUCCUGAAGUAAAAGAAGCUGAAAUAAUUGAGUGGGAUCAAGUGGAUUUGAGAGGAGGCUGUGCUGUGUGCCAAUCUUUCGUUUGCCUCAGACAGGUUUCUCUUCGUUAUCAGAAGAGUUGCUUCAUUUCAUCUGGGAGCAGAAAACAGCAGGCAGCUGUUAACAGAUAAGUUUAACUUGCAUCUGCAGUAUUGCAUGUUAGGGAUAAGUGCUUAUUUAUAAAAGCCGUGGAGGUGUUGAACCUGGCACUUUUUCCUGACCCCUUCCUUAGGGGAUUUCAGGAUCUAGGCACUUUCCCAUCCAGCCUUUUAAAAUUUUGGGCUUCCAAGGUGGGAUGGUACACCUCAUUCAGAGGCAUUUGCACCUUAAUUCCUUAAAAGCCUCUUAAGUGACCAGUGCCUUAAUCAUAAUGCUUAACAAAACAAAGGAAAUAUUUUUAACUUGAAUCUUACAAGACCCUAAAAGGGAUAGAUAGCAUAAUGUGCUGUUAAGAAUCAGAUAUGUUAAUCUUGCUAAAAAUUUUCAUGUUAACUUGCAAUGUAUAUUGUGCAUAAAACCAUUAAAUCAUACAAAUUAAUAAAAUACUUUAUUAGAGAAUGUAUGCUUUUAGAAAGCUGUCUCCUUAUUUAAAUAAAAUAUUGUUUGUCUGUAGUUAGUGUUGGGGCAAUCUUGGGGGGUAUUCUUCUCUAAUCUUUCAGAAACUUUGUCUUCGAACACUCUUUAAUGGACAAGAUCAGGAAUUGAGCGGAAGACCGAAUUUAACUUUAAGGCAGGAAAGACCAAUUUUAUUCUUCAUAAAGUGAUGAGAACUUAAUUAAUAAUUCCAGGCACAUGGCAAUAGAGACCCUCUAAAUAAGGAAUAAAUACCUUUUAGACAGGUGGGAGAUAAAGAUCAGAGUAAAAGGUAACUACACAUUUUGUUUCCAGGUAGUUGGGAGCCAAUAAGUUGAUAGUGAUUAAGCUAGAAUAAGAUACUUUCCAACAUUUCAUAGUUUGCAUGUUAACUUUUUAAAUGCUUAUUAUCAUUUCAUUAAGUGUCGCCACUGUUUCACACUAUUCAGUUAGGCAUUGGUGGGGGGCAUGUGGGUUUUUUGAGAAUUUUCCUUUGCAGAGGCUUCUUUUCAUCCUUCAUGAAGCUGUUCAGGAUGUUGACUUGCAUAUGAGUGCUUGGCUCUGCCUUCUGCUAGUGAGUGUGAGACCUUGCAGUGAGUUUAUCAGUAUAUUCAAAUUUUCCUGGAAUUUGGAGGGAAGGGAGGUGGGGAUGGGGCUUACUUGUUUUAGCUUCUUUUUUUACAGACCACACAGAGAAUGCAGUUGUCUUGACCUCAGGUCUGUCUGUUCUUUUGGCAAGUAAUAAUGCAGUACUGUUCUGAUCUGCUGCUAUUAGAAUGCAUUGUGAAACGACUGGAGUAUGAUUAAAAGUUGUGUUUCCCCAAUGCUUGGAGUAGUGAUUGUUGAAGGAAAAUCCAUGAGUGAUAAAGGCUGAGUGUUGAGGAAAUUUCUGCAGCUUUAAGUAAUCCAUGUUUGUGAUUGAAGCCAAGUACCUUUUGCUGUGCUGCUUUAGGUAAAAGCUUUUUGUUCUUUCUGGUAGGGGGGGCCGGGGGGGGGCACUGAAGCCUUUAGUCUUUUUCAGAUUCCACCUUAAAAUCAGUGACAAGAAUAAAUUCAAACAAGCAAGUCUUCAAGAAAUGUAACUGGCAAGUGGAAAUGUUUUGAACAGUUCAGUGGUCGUCAGUGCAUUUGUCUUUGUGUGGGUUUCUCUCCCCCUUCCCUUGGUCUUAAUUCUUACAUACAGGAACAUUGAGAACAGCAGACAUACGUAUUCGAAGGGCCAGAGAAGCCAGACCCAGUAAGGAAAAAUAGCCUAUUUACUUUAAAUAAAAAGUCAAACAUUCCAUUUUAAAUGUGGGGAUUGGGAACUACUAGUUCUUUCAGAUGGUAUUCUUCAGAUUAUAAAAGGAACUUCCAGUUGAUUUCACCAGUGGACAAAUUGAGGACAACAGGUGAACAAGCUUUUUCUAUAUUUACAUACAAAGAUCAGUUUCGGGUAAAUAACUUAGUGUUGAACAGACUUCAGCUUUAUGCUGAAGUCAGUAGCAUGUGAGCAAGUUGUGUGUUGGCCUGGGGGUGGAGGGGUGAGGUGGGCGCUAAGCCUUUUUUUAAGAUUUUUCAGGUACCCCUCACUAAGGCAUCGAAGGCUUAAAGUAGGACACCUGGAGCCUUCCUGUGGCAAGAGAGACAACAAAGCGCUAUUAUACUAAGGUCAAUAAAAGUGGUGUCGGCCUCAGCUUGAUUUCUAUUAACCAUGAGGACUUGCCUCAACACCUUUCUGGCAUAUAGCAUCCAGAAUGGUGCUCCCUGGGCUUACCUUAAAAUUUGAACAAGCUGUUUUUAUAGCAGCUUACGACAGCCCAGAUCUCAAGUGGUGUUUGAAGGGGAGGGAAAGGGGGAAAGCGGGCAACCAGUUUUCCCUAGCUUUUCCAGAGCCUGUUUAAAGCAAGGUCUCCCCACAAGUGACUUCUCUGCCACAUCGCCACCCCCUGCCUUUGGCCUAGCACAGACCCUUCACCCCUCACCUUGAUGCAGCCAGUAGCUUGGAUCCUUGUGGGCAUGCUGCAUAAUCAGUUUCAAGGUAACCACGGUGCCGAGGUCCGGUGGGUUGCACUACUAGAAGAGGCCGUUAAUUUAUGAACUUAACAGAAUAUUAAAACCACAGCUAAAUAGCUAUGUUUUACCUAUAUAUACACUUAUGCAGUGACUAAAACCAACUUAAACCACUAAGUAGAGAAGUAACAUGUCCAGAAUUGUAAUGUUGGGUGGGAACAGCUGACUUGACUGAAGAUAGGCAUUUAGCAGUUGAGGACUGCGGGGUGGGAUUGCAAAAAUUCUCUGCUAAGACUUUUUCAGGUGACUAUAACAGACUUGGCCAAGCUAGCAUCUUAGCGGAAGCAGAUUCUCCAGUGCUCUUCAGUAGGGUUGUAAAGGUUUUUCUUUUCCUGAGAAAACAAAACUUUUUGUUUUCUCAGGUUUUGCUUUUUGGCCUUUCCCUAGCUUAAAAAAAAAAAAAAGCAAAAGAUGCUGGUGGUUGGCACUCCUGGCUUCCAGGACGGGGUUCAAAUCCCUGCGGCGUCUUUGCUUUAACUCUUAAUAUCUGUCUUUAGGACUCUAGGGGUUUCCUCUCGGGAGGUGAACUCUAUGUAGCUUUGAUGUUGAAUUUGUCAAGAAGCCUGACUGGGUUGCGUGUUUUCAUGUGGAUACCUGAUAAACUGUUGUGUCUUUCAGGUAGCCCUCCUGCAUCUAGCGCUUGGAGAAGCCCUAUUAAGAACUGAUUUUAUGAAAUAAAAAAUUGAAAAGCUC
Long non-coding RNA from Sciurus carolinensis (gray squirrel), 7123 nucleotides. RefSeq lists it as uncharacterized. NCBI's taxonomy places the organism in Eukaryota, Metazoa, Chordata, Mammalia, Rodentia, Sciuridae. The transcript has 2 exons. The record is from RefSeq and is a predicted model, not a curated record.